UUUCUUAUGGUGUAAACAACACAUUACAUUUUCAUUGUAAAUUUGAAGCUUAAAUUACUUCUAAGAAAU
RNAcentral lists this transfer RNA (69 nucleotides) under Parribacus antarcticus. Its description in RNAcentral is "tRNA-Glu". It matches the Rfam family "tRNA". Rfam says of the family: Transfer RNA (tRNA) molecules are approximately 80 nucleotides in length. Their secondary structure includes four short double-helical elements and three loops (D, anti-codon, and T loops). Further hydrogen bonds mediate the characteristic L-shaped molecular structure. tRNAs have two regions of fundamental functional importance: the anti-codon, which is responsible for specific mRNA codon recognition, and the 3' end, to which the tRNAs corresponding amino acid is attached (by aminoacyl-tRNA synthetases). tRNAs cope with the degeneracy of the genetic code in two manners: having more than one tRNA (with a specific anti-codon) for a particular amino acid; and 'wobble' base-pairing, i.e. permitting non-standard base-pairing at the 3rd anti-codon position. Lineage: Eukaryota; Metazoa; Arthropoda; Malacostraca; Decapoda; Scyllaridae. The record is from RNAcentral.